This 684-nucleotide ribosomal RNA is filed under the name Bacillus cereus. RNAcentral's name for it is "bacterial SSU rRNA". It matches the Rfam family "Bacterial small subunit ribosomal RNA", at positions 64 to 728 of the family's 1533-position model. The record is from RNAcentral. Lineage: Bacteria; Bacillati; Bacillota; Bacilli; Caryophanales; Bacillaceae.
GAUCUGGAUUAAGAGCUUGCUCUUAUGAAGUUAGCGGCGGACGGGUGAGUAACACGUGGGUAACCUGCGCCCAUAAAACUGGGAUAACUCCGGGAAACCGGGGCUAAUACCGGAUAACAUUUUGAACCGCAGGGUUCGAAAUUGAAAGGCGGCUUCGGCUGUCACUUAUGGAUGGACCCGCGUCCCAUUAGCUAGUUGGUGAGGUAACGGCUCACCAAGGCAACGAUGCGUACCCAACCUGAGAGGGUGAUCGGCCACACUGGGACUGAAACACGGCCCAAACUCCUACGGGAGGCAGCAGUAGGGAAUCUUCCGCAAUGGACAAAAGUCUGACGGAGCAACCCCCCGGGAGUGAUGAAGGCUUUCGGGUCGUAAAACUCUGUUGUUAGGGAAAAACAAGUGCUAGUUGAAUAAGCUGGCACCUUGACGGUACCUAACCAGAAAGCCACGGCUAACUACGUGCCAAUCGCCGCGGUAAUACGUAGGUGGCAAGCGUUAUCCGGAAUUAUUGGGCGUAAAGCGCGCGCGAGUGGUUUCUUAAGUCUGAUGUGAAAGCCCACGGCUCAACCGUGGAGGGUCAUUGUUAACUGGGAGACUUGAGUGCAGAAGAGGAAAGUGGAAUUCCAUGUGUAGCGGUGAAAUGCGUAGAGAUAUGGAGGAACACCAGAUGCGAAAGGCGAAUCA